CGUAACAAGACAUGGACUCUCGUUCCUCCACCACCACGGGUAAAUGUUAUUGACUCAAAAUGGGUAUUCAAAGUGAAGAAGCAUUCGGAUGGAUCUAUUGAGCGUUACAAAGCGCGACUUGUUGCUCGCGGUUUUUGGCAGCGCCAUGGUCUUGACUAUGAGGACACCUUCAGUCCUGUCGUCAAGCCUACCACUAUUCGGCUUCUUCUCUCCAUUGCUGUUUCUCGUGGUUGGUCACUUCGUCAACUUGAUGUGCAGAAUGCUUUUCUACAUGGAUUUUUGGAGGAAGAGGUUUAUAUGAAACAGCCGCCUGGUUUCUCUGAUCCUGAUCAUCCUGACUAUAUCUAUCGUCUCUCCAAAGCACUAUAUGGUUUGAAGCAAGCUCCUCGUGCCUGGCAUGCCCGCCUUGCCUCUGCCCUUCGUGCUCAUGGGUUUGUGCCGUCCACUGCUGACACUUCAUUAUUUCUUCUACAGAAGCCAGAAGUCACUAUGUAUCUUUUGGUAUAUGUCGAUGAUAUUAUCCUUGUCAGCUCUUCUCAGUAUGCUGCUGAUGCUCUUGUCUGCUCUCUUGGUGCUGAUUUUGCGGUCAAAGAUCUUGGGAAGCUUCACUACUUU
Molecule: ribosomal RNA, 615 nt
Filed under: Triticum aestivum (bread wheat)
Lineage: Eukaryota; Viridiplantae; Streptophyta; Magnoliopsida; Poales; Poaceae
Description: partial small subunit ribosomal RNA
Source: RNAcentral